AAUAUUGCACAAUGGAGGAAACUCUGAUGCAGCGACGCCGCGUGAACGAUGAAGGCUUUCGAGUCGUAAAGUUCUGUCCUAGGGGACGAUAAUGACGCUGCCCGAGGAGGAAUCCCCGGCUAACGACGUGCCAUGAGCCGCGGUAAUACGUAGGGGGCAAGCGUUGUCCGGAUUUAUUGGGCGUAAAGGGUUCGCAGGCGGCCUUUUAAGUCAGAUGUGAAAGACUACAGCUCAACUGUGGUAAGCAUUUGAAACUGAAAGGCUUGAGUUAAGGAGAGGAAAGUGGAAUUCCUAGUGUAGCGGUGAAAUGCGUAGAUAUUAGGAGGAAUACCAGUGGCGAAGGCGACUACCUGGACUGAUACUGACACUGAGGUGCGAAAGCGUGGGGAGCAAACAGG
RNAcentral lists this ribosomal RNA (398 nucleotides) under uncultured bacterium. RNAcentral's name for it is "partial 16S ribosomal RNA". It matches the Rfam family "Bacterial small subunit ribosomal RNA", at positions 360 to 776 of the family's 1533-position model. The record is from RNAcentral.